This 107-nucleotide small nuclear RNA is filed under the name Physeter macrocephalus (sperm whale). The record is from RNAcentral. Lineage: Eukaryota; Metazoa; Chordata; Mammalia; Artiodactyla; Physeteridae.
GUGCUCCCUUUGGCAACACAUACACUAAAAUUGGAACAAUACAGAGAAGAUUAACAUGGCCCCUGUGCAAGGAUGACAUGCAAAUUUGUGAAGCGUUCCAUAUUUUU